UACGUAGGGGGCAAGCGUUGUCCGGAUUUAUUGGGCGUAAAGAGCGUGUAGGCGGCCAGGUAGGUCUGCUGUGAAAACUCGAGGCUUAACCUCGAGCUGUCGGCGGAAACCAUCUGGCUAGAGUCCGGAAGAGGAGAAUGGAAUUCCCGGUGUAGCGGUGAGAUGCGCAGAUAUCGGGAAGAACACCCGUGGCGAAGGCGGUUCUCUGGGACGGUACUGACGCUGAGACGCGAAAGCGUGGGGAGCGAACAGG
Molecule: ribosomal RNA, 253 nt
Filed under: uncultured bacterium
Lineage: Bacteria
Description: partial 16S ribosomal RNA
Rfam family: Bacterial small subunit ribosomal RNA
Source: RNAcentral